GACGAACGCUGGCGGCGUGCUUAACACAUGCAAGUCGAACGGUGAACCCGCUUCGGUGGGGGAUCAGUGGCGAACGGGUGAGUAACACGUGGGCAACCUGCCCCCGGCUCUGGGAUAACUCCAAGAAAUUGGGGCUAAUACCGGAUAUGACCGCUGGCCGCAUGGUCUGGUGGUGGAAAGAUUUAUCGGCUGGGGAUGGGCCCGCGGCCUAUCAGCUUGUUGGUGGGGUAGUGGCCUACCAAGGCGACGACGGGUAGCCGGCCUGAGAGGGUGACCGGCCACACUGGGACUGAGACACGGCCCAGACUCCUACGGGAGGCAGCAGGUGGGGAAUAGUUGGG
RNAcentral lists this ribosomal RNA (341 nucleotides) under uncultured bacterium. RNAcentral's name for it is "bacterial SSU rRNA". It matches the Rfam family "Bacterial small subunit ribosomal RNA", at positions 28 to 369 of the family's 1533-position model. The record is from RNAcentral.